AAUAUUGCGCAAUGGAGGAAACUCUGACGCAGCGACGCCGCGUGGGUGAUGAAGGCCUUCGGGUCGUAAAGCCCUGUCGGAGGGGAAGAAAAGUCCGUCGGCUAAUAUCCGGCGGACCUUUGACGGUACCCUCAAAGGAAGCACCGGCUAACUCCGUGCCAGCAGCCGCGGUAAGACGGAGGGUGCAAGCGUUGUUCGGAUUGACUGGGCGUAAAGGGCGUGUAGGCGGUUGGUCAAGUCCGAUGUGAAAGCCCGGAGCUCAGCUCCGGAAGUGCAUCGGAAACUAGCCAGCUGGAGCGCGAUAGAGGAGGGUGGAAUUCCUGGUGUAGCGGUGAAAUGCGUAGAUAUCAGGAGGAACACCGGCGGCGAAGGCGGCCCUCUGGAUCGUUGCUGACGCUGAGACGCGAAAGCGUGGGGAGCAA
RNAcentral lists this ribosomal RNA (422 nucleotides) under uncultured Syntrophobacteraceae bacterium. RNAcentral describes it as "bacterial SSU rRNA". It matches the Rfam family "Bacterial small subunit ribosomal RNA", at positions 360 to 771 of the family's 1533-position model. Lineage: Bacteria; Pseudomonadati; Thermodesulfobacteriota; Syntrophobacteria; Syntrophobacterales; Syntrophobacteraceae. The record is from RNAcentral.